GAGAACGCUGCUGCCUGAACUGAGAGCAGAGAGACAGAAGAGGUCUAAAGACAGAACUGUGAACUGCUUAUCCGACCAACGGUGCCUGGAGAAGGAGGGUAAGGAGAGAUACGACUGUGAGCUUUGCUUUGAGAUUGGCCCAUAGACACCCAGCUCAGCUGAACACAGAGAAAGAUAAAGCUUGGAGAUUCGGGGGUUAACUGAACUGACUGACCCCCGCCCAGCUGGGGGGCUGUGUGAACUAGCUGGGGACAACAUUCCUGCUUAGUUGAAGAGGAAGUGCUGUAGCUGGAAAGACUCUUCAUUUUAAUAAACUCUUUCGAGGAGACCAGCUUUUAUAUUCUCAGAGACUCCUGGUGAAGGCACCCUGAGUCUUUUACAGGAAUUUUUUAAUCUACACAAUAACUCCACAACAGUGUAUCGGAUAGGACCUUCUGGAGGUUUGGAAAACCGGCUUCAGCAAGAUAUCGUUCUGUGCCCUGCCUUAUGUGGUAGGCCUUUGAAAGACUACCUAGAAGGAAUCAGCGAACCAGCCCACAGAAAGUUUCCCUUCUGGGGCUCUUGGAUAUCCUUCGUUCAGUAUGGGGCGGUGGAAGAUGGCCUCUAAAGACUAAGCUAAGACCCGAAAUACAAGGUUAUCAUAGCUGUACAUGCGCUAUAGCCAAACUCCACUAUUAUCCUUUUCCAGCUGCACACAAAUUGCCUAAAUAAGGCAAUUUUAAUUUUAAUGUAGUUUUUAGCCGUUUUAUUACUGCUGUCUCUUUGGCAGCAUUGUUUUAUUAUUAUAUUCUGACUAGGUUGCAGCAUUUGUGAAACAGCGCUGGUCGCAUGAUUGAGGUGAAAACUACAGGCUUAGGACAAUUGCCAAGAUCUAAAAGCAGAGAACUCAAAAUAGAGAAAUAUAUUGAGGCUGUUGAUGAGCACAUCAGGAAGCUGUUGCAGAGAGCAGGUGGGAAUAUAGAUUGAUACCCCCACUUGCCCCCCAAUCUAAGGCAGUCGCACCUGGGGUAAACUGCCCUCUCUCUAUAUCGAGACCACUUUUACCAUGGUUUUUACUAGGAGAAAAUACAAGGAGUUGGGUAUACUGCCUGACUCGGCAAUCAGCCCCUCGGGCCCUGGUAAAAGACAAAGCAAAAUCACAAAUUACUUUCCUAAGAUGGAGGAGGGUAAGAGUCCACAAAAAGAGUUAAUUCUUGAUGAAGUAAUACCCCCCUCUCUUACUGUUCUUGAUUGGACAUCUAAUUUUAAAGAGAUAUACCAAGAUACUGGAAAUAUUAACUCCCCAUGCAGCCUAGCGCAAGAACUAGCUUUAGCCGAGGAACUUCAGGAGGGAAAUACCUCUAUUACUAAGGAACAGCUGCCCACGGAAGAAAUUACAUCAACCCAUCAAAACCAGAUACUUACUCCAAAAUACUCUCAAACAGAAUUGAGUGACGGUCGCCCUUUGGAUUAUUCCCUAGCAAUAAGUUCUGAUUUAGCCAACAUAAAAAUUUAUCUAACAAUAACAAAUGGGCUACUGCUGACGUUAGUAGAAAAUUUCACAUCUCAAUUAAAAGAGUUAAAAUUAAAUGAUAUGCCACAAGAACAUAAAACAGUUGAGCUAGCGUCGAUGAACAAACCAGUAAUAAAUAAGAAUCUGCAAAGACAUAACUCAAGGGU
RNAcentral lists this long non-coding RNA (1659 nucleotides) under Podarcis lilfordi (Lilford's wall lizard). The record is from RNAcentral. Lineage: Eukaryota; Metazoa; Chordata; Lepidosauria; Squamata; Lacertidae.